UCCGGCUUAUCACCGGCAGUCUCCCUAGAGUGCCCUUGCGUAGCAACUAGGGACAAGGGUUGCGCUCGUUGCGGGACUUAACCCAACAUCUCACGACACGAGCUGACGACAGCCAUGCAGCACCUGUGCACCGGCCCCGAAGGGCUGUCGUAUUUCUACGACAUUCCAGUGCAUGUCAAGCCUUGGUAAGGUUCUUCGCGUUGCGUCGAAUUAAACCACAUGCUCCACCGCUUGUGCGGGCCCCCGUCAAUUCCUUUGAGUUUCAGCCUUGCGGCCGUACUCCCCAGGCGGGGCACUUAAUGCGUUAGCGACGACACUCAGGGGGUCGCUCCCCCAAGCAUCUAGUGCCCAUCGUUUACGGCGUGGACUAC
Molecule: unclassified non-coding RNA, 371 nt
Filed under: uncultured bacterium
Lineage: Bacteria
Description: contains 16S-23S intergenic spacer region
Source: RNAcentral